CACGUAGGGGGCGAGCGUUGUCCGGAUUUAUUGGGCGUAAAGAGCUCGUAGGCGGCUUUUUAAGUCAGGGGUGAAAUCCUGGAGCUCAACUCCAGAACUGCCUUUGAUACUGAAGAGCUUGAGUCCGGGAGAGGUGAGUGGAACUGCGAGUGUAGAGGUGAAAUUCGUAGAUAUUCGCAAGAACACCAGUGGCGAAGGCGGCUCACUGGCCCGGUACUGACGCUGAGGUGCGAAAGCGUGGGGAGCAAACAGG
This 253-nucleotide ribosomal RNA is filed under the name uncultured bacterium. RNAcentral's name for it is "partial 16S ribosomal RNA". It matches the Rfam family "Bacterial small subunit ribosomal RNA", at positions 524 to 776 of the family's 1533-position model. The record is from RNAcentral.